UGGGGAAUAUUGCACAAUGGAGGGAACUCUGAUGCAGCGACGCCGCGUGAACGAAGAAGGCUUUCGAGUCGUAAAGUUCUUUUAUAUGGGAAGAUAAUGACGGUACCAUAAGAAAAAGCCCCGGCUAACUACGUGCCAGCAGCCGCGGUAAUACGUAGGGGGCUAGCGUUGUCCGGAAUCACUGGGCGUAAAGGGUUCGCAGGCGGAAAUGCAAGUCAGGGGUAAAAGGCAGUAGCUUAACUGCUGUAAGCAUUUGAAACUGCAGAUCUUGAGAAGAGUAGAGGUAAGUGGAAUUUUUAGUGUAGCGGUGAAAUGCGUAGAUAUUAAAAAGAAUACCGGUGGCGAAGGCGACUUACUGGGCUCAUUCUGACGCUGAGGAACGAAAGCGUGGGUAGCAAACAGG
RNAcentral lists this ribosomal RNA (403 nucleotides) under bacterium. RNAcentral's name for it is "partial 16S ribosomal RNA". It matches the Rfam family "Bacterial small subunit ribosomal RNA", at positions 355 to 776 of the family's 1533-position model. The record is from RNAcentral.